GUGCUCGCUUCGGCAGCACAUAUACUAAAAUUGGAACGAUACAGAGAAGAUUAGCAUGGCCCCUGCACAAGAAUGACAUGCAAAAAGUCAAAAGCUUGAAGAAGUUUU
Small nuclear RNA from Rhinolophus ferrumequinum (greater horseshoe bat), 108 nucleotides. The record is from Ensembl. Lineage: Eukaryota; Metazoa; Chordata; Mammalia; Chiroptera; Rhinolophidae.